Long non-coding RNA from Mastomys coucha (southern multimammate mouse), 682 nucleotides. RefSeq lists it as uncharacterized. The transcript has 2 exons. NCBI's taxonomy places the organism in Eukaryota, Metazoa, Chordata, Mammalia, Rodentia, Muridae. The record is from RefSeq and is a predicted model, not a curated record.
UCAGAUCAAGUCAGUCAAAACUUAAACAGGGGAAGGGGAGGGAUUCACAAGGACCCACCCUUAGCUAAGGAGCUGCUGGAGUUGAUGACCACUGAAAAAGAGAUUCAUUUUUGCUUGGAGGUGUGGCCAGUCCGCUCUCUCCAAGGCGAACCCGCCCACCCCACAACGUCCCUCUGGCUGCGCUACAUCCUGGGACCAACCUCCAUGUCAGAGAUGCUACCAAAGCGCCCACAGGACCCGACACUGGCCCAACUUUGGAGAAGACCGCCAGAGAGCAAGAGACACACAGGCGCAGAAGAAACACGGAAGCUCCCUUCCCAGAGUCCCUGUUUGUGACGUCGCCGCGGACGAGACUGCAUUUCCCACAAUUCUCUGCGAGCAAGUUUCUCGAAGCCAAGGAAGGUAAUUUGAAACGUUCCUGAGUUACUGUCCGGCUCUUGGCAGAAAAGAAGGGGUGAAAAAAGCCACUUCUACAAGUGGAGAGCUACAGGGAGUCGGGCUGCUGCGUUAAAAUGUUUGGAUUUUCAAAGUGAGAUGUUUGAGUAUGAAUUGAACCUUUGACAGCAAUGUUUAUUAGGUAUACUGGAUACUUUGGGUCGAUAUAUUGUGAUUUUUAAAACUCAACCUGCUCCCUACAAAAUAUUUUAAAUAUUAAAAAUUCUUCCCAGGUUCUUUAUACAGA